UUUUAUGGUGCUGUGUAGGCAAGUCAAUGUUGUUUUAGGUCACUACUGUACAAUAGCMGUAAGUUCUUGUACCUGCACCUAUUACCUAUUAAGGCAAUAAGAAUUUCUCCUUGAAUUAAGUGAAGCCAGAUUUCUCAUCUGUUUACAGAUCAGAAAGAAGAGAAUGGAAGAAGAAGUGGUGUUCAAGUGAAUGAACAAACUUUCAAGCUGACUCACUGAUGCACGUACAGUAUACGCUGUACAGAUUAGUCACCACUUACUGUAAAUCUUUCUUUAUGAUGCUUGGUGGACAUGCGGCUGUAUCAAACAGCAGUUAGCUGGCUUUGUAGACUGGGAAUUCAGCUUUUCUUCUAUAAUAGUCACCUAGAAGUGAAGGCAGGAGGAAGUACUGAGAGGUGCCCAUGAGAGAGAAGGAGUGUGCACACGCACGCAUCUGAAUGCCAGUACCAGACACUGCCCUGGAAGAAAUCUAGGCCAUGUGCUGGCCUUAUCCAGUACAUUUGUUCAAGUGAUGGAAUUUUAUGACUUGUUGGAUUCUGAAUAGAGUGAGGAGAUGCGUCUGAUAAGAUACAUCACUUUGAGAUCACAGAAUGAAAGAAACAUGAAAUGUUAUGGCGAAGACAGCACAGCAAGAAACAAUAGUCUCGCAAAUACUCACAAAUCAGGUGCCUGGUGCACUGAACCUAUCAACUGUGCAAGAUUUGUGCUUUGGUCCUCUUUUGAAGAUGUGAAGCAACGUCGAGUCUGAAAUUGGAAUUACUGAUAGACUGGAGGAAAUCUUAGUCCUUGUGAUACACAUGGACAUGCUGAAUUCUAAGUAAUUCUAGCUUCUUUUCCCCUCCCCUCCCCUUCCCUUAUUCAGCUAUCUCAGGGUUAACAGAGAUUUCAAUGGUUUGUGUGCCUGUAAGUU
RNAcentral lists this long non-coding RNA (910 nucleotides) under Dromaius novaehollandiae (emu). Its description in RNAcentral is "lncRNA (ENSDNVG00000013103.1)". Lineage: Eukaryota; Metazoa; Chordata; Aves; Casuariiformes; Dromaiidae. The record is from RNAcentral.